UGAGUAAUGUCUGGGAAACUGCCUGAUGGAGGGGGAUAACUACUGGAAACGGUAGCUAAUACCGCAUAACGUCGCAAGACCAAAGAGGGGGACCUUCGGGCCUCUUGCCAUCAGAUGUGCCCAGAUGGGAUUAGCUAGUAGGUGGGGUAAUGGCUCACCUAGGCGACGAUCCCUAGCUGGUCUGAGAGGAUGACCAGCCACACUGGAACUGAGACACGGUCCAGACUCCUACGGGAGGCAGCAGUGGGGAAUAUUGCACAAUGGGCGCAAGCCUGAUGCAGCCAUGCCGCGUGUGUGAAGAAGGCCUUCGGGUUGUAAAGCACUUUCAGCGAGGAGGAAGGUGGUGAGCUUAAUACGCUCAUCAAUUGACGUUACUCGCAGAAGAAGCACCGGCUAACUCCGUGCCAGCAGCCGCGGUAAUACGGAGGGUGCAAGCGUUAAUCGGAAUUACUGGGCGUAAAUUACACGCAGGCGGUUUGUUAAGUCAGAUGUGAAAUCCCCGGG
Molecule: ribosomal RNA, 504 nt
Filed under: uncultured bacterium
Lineage: Bacteria
Description: bacterial SSU rRNA
Rfam family: Bacterial small subunit ribosomal RNA
Source: RNAcentral